Molecule: ribosomal RNA, 283 nt
Filed under: Streptococcus agalactiae STIR-CD-25
Lineage: Bacteria; Bacillati; Bacillota; Bacilli; Lactobacillales; Streptococcaceae
Description: partial 16S ribosomal RNA
Rfam family: Bacterial small subunit ribosomal RNA
Source: RNAcentral
UUUAAUGAGAGUUUGAUCCUGGCUCAGGACGAACGCUGGCGGCGUGCCUAAUACAUGCAAGUAGAACGCUGAUGUUUGGUGUUUACACUAGACUGAUGAGUUGCGAACGGGUGAGUAACGCGUAGGUAACCUGCCUCAUAGCGGGGGAUAACUAUUGGAAACGAUAGCUAAUACCGCAUAAGAGUGAUUAACACAUGUUAGUUAUUUAAAAGGAGCAAUUGCUUCACUGUGAGAUGGACCUGCGUUGUAUUAGCUAGUUGGUGAGGUAAAGGCUCACCAAGGC